ACGCUAAUACCGCAUACGUCCUACGGGAGAAAGCAGGGGAUCUUCGGACCUUGCGCUAUCGGAUGAGCCUAUGUCGGAUUAGCUAGUUGGUGAGGUAACGGCUCACCAAGGCGACGAUCCGUAGCUGGUCUGAGAGGAUGAUCAGCCACACUGGGACUGAGACACGGCCCAGACUCCUACGGGAGGCAGCAGUGGGGAAUAUUGGACAAUGGGGGAAACCCUGAUCCAGCCAUGCCGCGUGUGUGAAGAAGGCCUUCGGGUUGUAAAGCACUUUCAGCGAGGAAGAAGGCCUGAGGGCUAAUACCCUUCAGGAAGGACAUCACUCGCAGAAGAAGCACCGGCUAACUCCGUGCCAGCAGCCGCGGUAAUACGGAGGGUGCGAGCGUUAAUCGGAAUUACUGGGCGUAAAGAAGCCGGUUGUGAAAGCCCCGGGCUCAACCUGGGAACGGCAUCCGGAACUGUCAGGCUAGAGUGCAGGAGAGGAAGGUAGAAUUCCCGGUGUAGCGGUGAAAUGCGUAGAGAUCGGGAGGAAUACCAGUGGCGAAGGCGGCCUUCUGGACUGACACUGACACUGAGGUGCGAAAGCGUGGGUAGCAAACAGGAUUAGAUACCCUGGUAGUCCACGCCGUAAACGAUGUCGACUAGCCGUUGGGUUCCUUGAGAACUUUGUGGCGCAGUUAACGCGAUAAGUCGACCGCCUGGGGAGUACGGCCGCAAGGUUAAAACUCAAAUGAAUUGACGGGGGCCCGCACAAGCGGUGGAGCAUGUGGUUUAAUUCGAUGCAACGCGAAGAACCUUACCUACGCUUGACAUCGUGCGAACUUGGUAGAGAUACCUUGGUGCCUUCGGGAACGCACAGACAGGUGCUGCAUGGCUGUCGUCAGCUCGUGUUGUGAAAUGUUGGGUUAAGUCCCGUAACGAGCGCAACCCU
RNAcentral lists this ribosomal RNA (931 nucleotides) under Halomonas sp. NK2. RNAcentral's name for it is "bacterial SSU rRNA". It matches the Rfam family "Bacterial small subunit ribosomal RNA", at positions 160 to 1105 of the family's 1533-position model. Lineage: Bacteria; Pseudomonadati; Pseudomonadota; Gammaproteobacteria; Oceanospirillales; Halomonadaceae. The record is from RNAcentral.